Long non-coding RNA from Aegilops tauschii subsp. strangulata, 1552 nucleotides. RefSeq lists it as uncharacterized. The record is from RefSeq and is a predicted model, not a curated record. Lineage: Eukaryota; Viridiplantae; Streptophyta; Magnoliopsida; Poales; Poaceae.
AUAAAAUCUGAAAGGUUUUGAGAUUUGUGUUUAUUUUAUGCCCAUAUGCUCUGAAGUUGCUGGUGUUUCAAGAAUGUGGCAUCCCAGUCCACACCAAGAAACAAGGGAUGAGCAGAAUUCCUUGCCUUGUAACAGGGCUAGGCUACAGGAGGAGCUGAACCCUAAAGUGCUAUUUUUUUAGCAGAGGUUUGAUCAAUGACUGUUGUUGACCCCUGUUGCGAGUGCACCCCUGCAACUACAGGUGUAAAGUUCAGUUUUUUUUGUUUACUUAACUAGGAUUCUUACUUAUAAUUGUGAAUCUGUGCAUGCCAUGCCAAUCUGUAAUGUUCACAAGCUUCCUGUCCAUAUCACACGUUUGGAUAAAAAGUCGGAAUGAAUACUGUCUUGACAUACUCAUUAAGUCAGUCUGAAUUUGGCCAUUUACAUGGUAAUGAGCAAUGCCCUAGAAUGGCACCUAACUUAGAUUGGACAUAAAAGAUCUUUGAAUUAGUGGUGAUUUUGUCUACCAUGCUGCCAGCGAAUAGUCGUAAGUUGUUACCAUAUUCAAAAGUGUCAUUGUAUAUGCAAUUUUGCAUCUUUUUUAUAACAAGAAGGCAGGGAGCCCCAUAGAAAUAUUUAAUACAGCAAAGUUAAAUACUCUCAGUUCUAGCUCGCUGUAGACCUGGAUUAUCCAGCUACCUGAAUUAUCAAACUCCAAAAGUCCAACACUCUGUGUUCCAAGUAACAUUUGCCAUAUAGAAGAUCAUGUGAGAGGGCUGGGGUGGCUGCUACUUUCCUUGGAAUGAUAUCAAGCAAGAUCAAAUAUCUCCAUGGAAGAUAUCAUCUGAUUUUUUUUUAUCGAUCAAACAAUUCGACCUUUCGGCACUUCUGUGGCAAUACUUGUUUUAUUUGGUUAGCAACCUAAAAAAUACUUUCCAAUGGCCCUGAAUUUAUGGCUUAUGUAUCCAUUGAUAGGUUCAUGCAUGUUGAAUAUACAGUUAUGUUUUCGCAAAAAAAAAGAAUAUACAGUUAUGUCUUCUGUUCUGCUCCCUCCGUCCCAAAAUAAGUGUCUCAACUUUGUACUAACUUUAGUGUAAAGUUGUACUAAGGUUGAGACACUUAUUUCGGGAUGGAGGGAGUAUUUAACUGUUGGCGUCACUAACUUGCUCUAAAAUUAGUCACUUUAUCUUUGUAGCUCCACAGCUGAUUGUUUGCAAGAUGGACCUGAGAUUUUUACCUUUAGUAAGCAACUAAGUCCGCGCAAUAUUCCCAACCGGGCUUUACAAUUGAUGCAAUCGACUUCUCUACUUCAAUAUGAGAGAAAAGAAGAAAGAAAUAAAAGAUGUUUUGCAUCUAGUUUACCCAGGUGAAUAACAUGCGUCAAUGAAGAAGUUCAAGCUCAAGGAGAGUAAGUUUAAGAUGAAAGCCGCUUUCGAGGAGCACGGUUGAAUUUGGGAGCGAUAAAUUUUAAAAACUUACUGAACAUCCGAUUCUUUUAUUAGGAUUUAAAUGUAUGGUUGAAUUGCUACCUAUUGUUGAUUCAAUUGAGGCGGCAUGACAGACAUUUGGUUUA